GACGAACGCUGGCGGCGUGCCUAAUACAUGCAAGUUGAGCGCUGAAGGUUGGUACUUGUACCAACUGGAUGAGCAGCGAACGGGUGAGUAACGCGUGGGGAAUCUGCCUUUGAGCGGGGGACAACAUUUGGAAACGAAUGCUAAUACCGCAUAAAAACUUUAAACACAAGUUUUAAGUUUGAAAGAUGCAAUUGCAUCACUCAAAGAUGAUCCCGCGUUGUAUUAGCUAGUUGGUGAGGUAAAGGCUCACCAAGGCGAUGAUACAUAGCCGACCUGAGAGGGUGAUCGGCCAAAUUGGGACUGAGACACGGCCCAAACUCCUACGGGAGGCAGCAGUAGGGAAUCUUCGGCAAUGGACGAAAGUCUGGCCGAGCAACGCCGCGUGAGUGAAGAAGGUUUUCGGAUCGUAAAACUCUGUUGGUAGAGAAGAACGUUGGUGAGAGUGGAAAGCUCAUCAAGUGACGGUAACUACCCAGAAAGGGACGGCUAACUACGUG
Molecule: ribosomal RNA, 497 nt
Filed under: uncultured bacterium
Lineage: Bacteria
Description: partial 16S ribosomal RNA
Rfam family: Bacterial small subunit ribosomal RNA
Source: RNAcentral